AUUGAACGCUGGCGGCAUGCUUUACACAUGCAAGUCGGACGGUAACAGGGUGCUUGCACCGCUGACGAGUGGCGAACGGGUGAGUAAUGCGUCGGAACGUGCCGAGUAGUGGGGGAUAACGCAGCGAAAGUUGUGCUAAUACCGCAUACGUACUGAGGUAGAAAGUGGGGGACCUUCGGGCCUCACGCUAUUCGAGCGGCCGACGUCUGAUUAGCUAGUAGGUGAGGUAAAGGCUCACCUAGGCGACGAUCAGUAGCGGGUCUGAGAGGAUGAUCCGCCAAACUGGGACUGAGACACGGCCCAGACUCCUACGGGAGGCAGCAGUGGGGAAUUUUGGACAAUGGGCGAAAGCCUGAUUCAGCCAUGCCGCGUGUCUGAAGAAGGCCUUCGGGUUGUAAAGGACUUUUGUCAGGGAGGAAAUCCCUAGUGCUAAUAACACUGGGGGAUGACAGUACCUGAAGAAUAAGCACCGGCUAACUACGUGCCAGCCGCCGUAGUAA
This 500-nucleotide ribosomal RNA is filed under the name uncultured bacterium. RNAcentral's name for it is "partial 16S ribosomal RNA". It matches the Rfam family "Bacterial small subunit ribosomal RNA", at positions 30 to 523 of the family's 1533-position model. The record is from RNAcentral.